This 365-nucleotide long non-coding RNA is filed under the name Lathyrus oleraceus (garden pea). RNAcentral's name for it is "Pisum sativum (pea) long non-coding RNA (PSAT_LNC016966)". The record is from RNAcentral. Lineage: Eukaryota; Viridiplantae; Streptophyta; Magnoliopsida; Fabales; Fabaceae.
UAAUGUCAUCUUGAUGGUAGGAUUAAAACUCCUGUCACAGACUAUAUUUCUAAUGUUGGAACUGUACAAAUCACAAACAAAUAUGAAGACCUGGUAGCUAUCUCUUGAACAUCAAUGGAAAAAAAAAAAUCAACUAUAAGGAGAGGAAGAAAGAAUUUACACAAAAAAUGAAUUUACUUUUCAUGAUUGUCUUCAUUAGAAUCUAUCUUAAUUAUGAAGAGGUUGGUUAAGCUCUGAUGAUUGUUCAGCAACAAUGGGGUAAUUCUGGCGAGGAUGAUGUAACCCCGUCGAUGUCGAUAUCUUCGUUUUUCGGCCAAGGCUUUAUCCAAAGCAGACUUUGCAACUUUAGUAACACAUAUCAUAAG